Molecule: ribosomal RNA, 497 nt
Filed under: uncultured bacterium
Lineage: Bacteria
Description: partial 16S ribosomal RNA
Rfam family: Bacterial small subunit ribosomal RNA
Source: RNAcentral
GAUGAACGCUGGCGGCGUGCCUAAUACAUGCAAGUCGAGCGAACGGACGAGAAGCUUGCUUCUCUGAUGUUAGCGGCGGACGGGUGAGUAACACGUGGAUAACCUACCUAUAAGACUGGGAUAACUUCGGGAAACCGGAGCUAAUACCGGAUGAUAUUUUGAACCGCAUGGUUCAAAAGUGAAAGACGGUCUUGCUGUCACUUAUAGAUGGAUCCGCGCUGCAUUAGCUAGUUGGUAAGGUAACGGCUUACCAAGGCAACGAUGCAUAGCCGACCUGAGAGGAGGGUGGGCAAAAUUGGAAAGGAAACAGGGCCAAGACGACGAAGGGAGGCAGAAGGGGGGAAUAUCCGGAAAGGGGAGAAAGCAGGAGGGAGCAAGGCAGAGGGGGGGAGAAAGGUAUGCGAAGCGAAAAACUGUGUGAUGGGGAAAGAAAAUAUGAGAAGGAAAAUGUACACUGCUUGAGGGUACAUAAUCAAAAAGCCAAGGAAAAAUGCGUG